Helianthus annuus (common sunflower) is the source of this 268-nucleotide long non-coding RNA. RefSeq lists it as uncharacterized. The record is from RefSeq and is a predicted model, not a curated record. Lineage: Eukaryota; Viridiplantae; Streptophyta; Magnoliopsida; Asterales; Asteraceae. The transcript has 4 exons.
AUGACUAGGAAGGGUAAAGGGGUGAUGACAAUACCAACACCGGUUAAGCUCAAAGAAACAAUCAGAAAGUACAUCCCUACUUAUGAAGGUUCUGAUUCAGAUGGUUCUGUGGGUAGCGCUCCAGGUGAAAGCCCUACUUAUGAAGGUUCUUAUUCAGAUGGUUCUGUGGGUAGCGCUCCAGGUGAAAGACAAGAAACUACUAAGGGGAAGGGCGACUACAUGGGCAUGCAUUAGCGGCAGAAGAUUUCGUGAAUUAUUGAAUAAAACC